RNAcentral lists this ribosomal RNA (253 nucleotides) under uncultured bacterium. RNAcentral's name for it is "partial 16S ribosomal RNA". It matches the Rfam family "Bacterial small subunit ribosomal RNA", at positions 524 to 776 of the family's 1533-position model. The record is from RNAcentral.
UACGGGGGGGGCAAGCGUUGUUCGGAAUUACUGGGCGUAAAGGGCUCGUAGGUGGCCAACUAAGUCAGACGUGAAAUCCCUCGGCUUAACCGGGGAACUGCGUCUGAUACUGGAUGGCUAGAGUUUGGGAGAGGGAUGCGGAAUUCCAGGUGUAGCGGUGAAAUGCGUAGAUAUCUGGAGGAACACCGGUGGCGAAGGCGGCAUCCUGGACCGAUACUGACGCUGAUGAGCGAAAGCCAGGGGAGCAAACGGG